Molecule: long non-coding RNA, 1662 nt
Filed under: Anas platyrhynchos platyrhynchos (common mallard)
Lineage: Eukaryota; Metazoa; Chordata; Aves; Anseriformes; Anatidae
Description: lncRNA (ENSAPLG00000026307.1)
Source: RNAcentral
GAAGCAGCUUUUUUCCAGGCAAAGACCUCGUGUACCAUGGCGUCCAGGAGGAUGGAAGUCCCAGGCAUGCAUGAGCUCCACAGAGUGAUGACAAAUGUUUGUUCAUCUGGGAAACUGCCUGAACUGGUAUAAGCCAAUCUCCAGGCACUGCCUUUCCCUGAUGUCCUGCUUCUUCUGUAACGGUCUGCAGAUGGGACAAAUGUGAGUUCCUGAACAUUUUUCACAUUUUAUGAGGCCAGGUGGGAGUAUGGUGCACCAAAUGUACCCAAUUGGGCCUGAACAGUUCAACACUUAGAAUUAAUACUGUUUUCUUUAUGUUUAUGCACAGUGAGUGGUUGGGUGAGGAUGAUUUUGACUGUUCAAAAGUCUGUGUUGACUAGCCUGUAAAACACAAAAUAUAACUGGAUAAAUGGAAUGAUAGACUCACAUAUGCAUGUUUUUUUUUGCUACAGGAAGUGCCUAUUACAAUGCAAAGAGAGACAGCUUAAGUAAGACACCGUGUAGAGCAAGGCUAUUGCACUUUCCCUGGAGCUCACAAGUUUUUAGUGAGAAGAGGAAGAAAAAAAAAGUUAGUUCUACAGUGUUUUGUCUCAAGUUUGCACAAUGCUAAUGCAAAUUCCGACCUACGCUAAGGCAAGGAAGUACAUGACCUUGCCCAAGCAGGGAAGAGAGCAUAGGAUCACAUCUCAAACCCUUGCUGGCCAAACACAAGGUCUCCAACAAGAGCAACAACGGUCAGCAUAUACUCAUAUACAUGCAAUCAUGUGUAUGGCCCAAACUGUACCUGUUCCGGGCUAGCUAUGGUAGUUAAAGAAGUAAAGAAGUCUGGGUAAAGGUAUGUACAAAACAAAAACAAAAACAAACAAAAAAAACAAUCAACAAAAAACAAUGAGAGUUUAAGAGUGUCAGGUUAUUGUCAGGAUUUUGUUACCUUUUUAUUAUGUUCAUGCUCCUGGGGAUUUAUUAAAUGGUAGGUAAAUGAAAAGGGAUAAGGAGGGAAACAAGGAGAACAAGGAAGCAUGAAAAGAGACACACUGUCUAUAUGCAUACAUCUAUAUACAAAUGCUCUCACACAAAGGACACAGGCUGAUCCUUUGGAUUUGUUUAGAUAUAUGCAUAUGUACAAGUGCUUAUAGGUAGGUAGUCACAUACAGACACAACAGAAACUGUUCAGAAAGGCGCAGCAGAGAGGCUACAAAACAGUCAUGACUUGACUUUACAGCUGCUCUGCAGGUCAGGCAGCUCACCUGUGACCAACCUGGCUAUGGGGCCCAAGUGGAAGUCUGCAAAUGUCUCUCAGAAAUACUAUACUUUCCCUGGCUUUUCCUGCUUGGUGCUCUUCUUACAGUCUGGGUGCUGCUUAACUUCUACAAAGUAAAUCAGCUCCAAAAUGACCAUUUUUAAUGUGUGUAAUCUGUCUACAGGGAGCCUGCAAAUACUAACUUCCUAUGCCUUUUUCUAUUCCUUCCUAUUCCUUUAAUUUCAAUUUGCCCCAAGUCUAGAGUGUGUGACAGCCUGGAGAGCUUGGCCCUGGGGUACAAAUGGCAGGACAUUUCUUAGCCAUGCCAGUCCUUCUCAUGUUCUUACCGUGACAUUUUAGCAAUCGAGGAACUAACUCUGUAACAAAUGUAUUGAAAGAAUAAAUUCACAAGAAAUAUAGCA